GUCUAUGGCCAUACCACCCUGAACAAGCCUAAUUCUGUCUGAUCUCGGAAGCUAAGCAGGGUUGAGCCUAGUUAGUACUUGGAUGGGAGAUGACCUAGGAAGACUGGUGCUGUAGGUA
This 118-nucleotide ribosomal RNA is filed under the name Pteropus alecto (black flying fox). The record is from RNAcentral. Lineage: Eukaryota; Metazoa; Chordata; Mammalia; Chiroptera; Pteropodidae.